RNAcentral lists this ribosomal RNA (467 nucleotides) under uncultured bacterium. RNAcentral's name for it is "partial 16S ribosomal RNA". It matches the Rfam family "Bacterial small subunit ribosomal RNA", at positions 28 to 507 of the family's 1533-position model. The record is from RNAcentral.
GAUGAACGCUGGCGGCGUGCUUAACACAUGCAAGUCGAACGAUGAAGCCCAGCUUGCUGGGUGGAUUAGUGGCGAACGGGUGAGUAACACGUGAGCAACCUGCCCCUGACUCUGGGAUAAGCGCUGGAAACGGCGUCUAAUACUGGAUAUGUCCCGUCACCGCAUGGUGUGCGGGUGGAAAGAUUUUUCGGUUGGGGAUGGGCUCGCGGCCUAUCAGCUUGUUGGUGAGGUAAUGGCUCACCAAGGCGUCGACGGGUAGCCGGCCUGAGAGGGUGACCGGCCACACUGGGACUGAGACACGGCCCAGACUCCUACGGGAGGCAGCAGUGGGGAAUAUUGCACAAUGGGCGGAAGCCUGAUGCAGCAACGCCGCGUGAGGGAUGACGGCCUUCGGGUUGUAAACCUCUUUUAGCAGGGAAGAAGCGAAAGUGACGGUACCUACAGAAAAAGCACCGGCUAACUACGUG